AGAGUUUGAUCCUGGCUCAGAGCGAACGCUGGCGGCAGGCCUAACACAUGCAAGUCGAACGAAGUCUUCGGACUUAGUGGCGGACGGGUGAGUAACACGUGGGAACGUGCCUUUAGGUUCGGAAUAACUCAGGGAAACUUGUGCUAAUACCGAAUGUGCCCUUCGGGGGAAAGAUUUAUCGCCUUUAGAGCGGCCCGCGUCUGAUUAGCUAGUUGGUGAGGUAAAGGCUCACCAAGGCGACGAUCAGUAGCUGGUCUGAGAGGAUGAUCAGCCACAUUGGGACUGAGACACGGCCCAAACUCCUACGGGAGGCAGCAGUGGGGAAUCUUGCGCAAUGGGCGAAAGCCUGACGCAGCCAUGCCGCGUGAAUGAUGAAGGUCUUAGGAUUGUAAAAUUCUUUCACCGGGGACGAUAAUGACGGUACCCGGAGAAGAAGCCCCGGCUAACUUCGUGCCAGCAGCCGCGGUAAUACGAAGGGGGCUAGCGUUGCUCGGAAUUACUGGGCGUAAAGGGAGCGUAGGCGGACAUUUAAGUCAGGGGUGAAAUCCCGGGGCUCAACCCAAGAACUGCAUCUAAUACUGGUUCUCUUGAAUCCAGGAGGGGAGAGCGGAAUUCCCGGUGUAGCGGUGAAAUGCGUAGAUAUCGGGAAGAACACCAGUGGCGAAGGCGGCUCUCUGGCCUAGGAUUGACGCUGAGGCGCGAAAGUGUGGGGAGCAAACAGGAUUAGAUACCCUGGUAGUCC
Molecule: ribosomal RNA, 742 nt
Filed under: uncultured bacterium
Lineage: Bacteria
Description: bacterial SSU rRNA
Rfam family: Bacterial small subunit ribosomal RNA
Source: RNAcentral